Molecule: long non-coding RNA, 496 nt
Organism: Oncorhynchus tshawytscha (Chinook salmon)
Lineage: Eukaryota; Metazoa; Chordata; Actinopteri; Salmoniformes; Salmonidae
Source: Ensembl
UGUGACUGUACUACAACCUCUACCUAGAGGUGUGGGGCUGUAAAGGAGUAGUGAAUGUGUGACUGUACUACAACCUCUGCCUAGAGGUGUGGAGCUGUAAAGGAGUGGUGAAUGUGUGACUGUACUACAACCUCUACCUAGAGGUGUGGGGCUGUAAAGGAGUAGUGAAUGUGUGACUGUACUACAACCUCUGCCUAGAGGUGUGGAGCUAAUAGCUAGAAUCCAUAGUUGCUACAUCCUUCUUUUUUUUUACUAAUAAAUUAAUGAUAUAUACCCAUUGAUUCUUGAAGAAUACAAUUGGUAAAUGCCUCAUGAGAUUAGUUUAACUGUCUACCCCAUCUGAACCCGAAAUAUAAACUUGUUUUACUCCAAUGUUUGUAAACAAUUUAAGAAUAAACUAACACUGUAUAGCCUCAUAACAAUAAGUUAUAUCAUGGAUGGUCAGUCCUUGCAUCUACAGCUCUGUCUCUGAAUUGGAGAAUGGUUACAUGACUCC